Molecule: long non-coding RNA, 5414 nt
Filed under: Marmota monax (woodchuck)
Lineage: Eukaryota; Metazoa; Chordata; Mammalia; Rodentia; Sciuridae
Source: RNAcentral
UUUCCACUCUCACAUCCUGUAAGAGUGAAGACAAGAAAACAUUAAUGUUUUAUUAGAAUUUAAUGGGGAAGCCUAAACCAAGUGUUCACUUACACAGUGUUGGACCACUAUCCCAGUCAGGGGAGAGCGAUGCAACAGUACCCCUGGUGUUCUUGCCAAGGUUCAUCCCACAAUUUCUAUCUUCCAAACCCUAAUGGAAGUGAAGAGUUCUGCAUUUAUUCUUAAUUCUGUAAUUGCCACCCUGUUGUGAAUUUCAUUGCAAAUAAUUCAAUGAAAUUUUUCUACAAAAGAAUGUUACAGAACUCAAAAGAAGGAAGACCCAUAUCCCUGAUUUAACACAUGCCAAGAAGAGUGAAUAUUCUCUAUUCCUAAUCUCAUCAAGAUAUCCUGGUUUUUAAAAUCAAAUUUGGCAGAUAGAACAACCAGCCCAGGGUUAACUUGGUGAGCUUCUAUUGACAUCAAGCUAUACUGUUUAUAAUUAUAGUACUAUAGUGCCAAGGUUUUUCAACCAUUUGGCCACUACACAUAUGUACACACAUACUCACAUGCUAUACCUACAUCUGCCAACAGUCCAAAUAUCUACACGUCAUUUUUACCAAUGCCUAAUCAAAUUUUUACCUUGCAUAACUAAAUUUGUACUUAAAAGAACAGGGCAUCUUUAAAAGUAUGCACUUGUGUUAGUUUGUAAACCUUAGACAUCUUCUCUUUUCAUCUUUGAGGCAAUUAAAUUAGUAUUUUAAGUCUAAAUUUCUCUUCCUUUGUUCAUCACCUGGCCAUUCUCCACACCUCAAAAUACAGUUAGGAAUAACUCUCAAUUGCUUCAGGAAGCAUCUUCCUGACUUAAAAUAGGGUCAGUUGAGGGUCAAUAUUCAUUUGAUGCCUAGUAUAUAAGUGCUAGGAUUUUUAUUUGGAAAACAAACUUUGAUGAUGCCCUUCAGUUUUAUCAGAAAGGUGCAGCAUGUGAUGAUAUAUGUGAAAUAUAAAUUACAAAAUUACAACUUACACUAUUUAAGACAAAUAUAUAUUUCACCUACUUAAUGCCUACCCAGAUUAAUUAUAGACAUUUUGUUGAUUUAGCACAUUAGGUAUUUUUUUAUGUGACGGAUUAAACUUCCAAUUUUAGCUACACUAUGCUGACAGAUUUUCAGGUAUACAGUUCUUUUUUUUUUAAAGGUAAUGCAUUCCACUACUAAACUUUCAUAAAACAACAUUAAUCUUGGACUGUCAUAGUUGAUAAUCAGUGGUUCAUUGUGAUGUGCUUUAUCCAACAUCUAUCUUAGUGCAUGGUUGAGGAUGUCCUACAAUCUUAAGUUACUGUGUGGCAUUUGUGGGACUGUAACAGCAAUGUAUCCACCCUACCAAGCAAUAGCAAGCUGAGGUAGCAGCUGCAUGAGAAAAACUGUGAUGUACAUCUUCAUUUAAAGUCAUGACUGAAAUCUUUCUAGACCAAAAAUUAGUGUGUUUGUUAAUAAUCCUCAUAGUACAGUUAGAGUGUUCAAUCAGGUAUUUUUAGGGAAACAGACGUGGGAGCUGGCCUGUCUAAGGAGCCCUUUGUCUCUCAAUCACUGAUUGCAUGACAGGAACUCUGUUCCUUUGUAUGUACACUCACUCAGUGUGCUCUGUCAGGGUGCCACAUGAGCAGCUAGACCCAAGUGAUCUUUCUAAUCAUGCCCAGAAAAAUGAUCUACUGCUCUGCUCAGCUCUGCCUAUUUGAGAGUCCGACCUGUGCAUUAGAAGUUUGGUAGUAAUGGUGAAAUCUUGCUGAUAUACUAAGCCUUUUAACAUUAAUGUCAACUUUUUCAAGUUCUUUACAUUUUAGAUGAAAUUUUGGCCAAAGUCUGUUACAGAUAUAAACCUGUUUUAUACCCUAGAAUUCGCUGGAACAAAUUAGGCAAAAGAUAGUGUUUAUGACCAGAAUCUUCCCCUCAUCUUAAUUAUCUUCACCCUACACUACUCCUCAAGGGCUCAAGGUACUAGAAAUGCAGUAUUCCUUAAGGAGGCAAAAACAGGUUGGGAAAUUUAUCUAAAAUGUAGCUACUUAUCAUUAUUGGUAUUUCAUAAAUAAAUGUAUUUUUAAAUAUUUCUACAAAUGCUUGACACUCUAGCCAAAUGAUAUUUCCCUUUGGUAGAUUGAAACAGUUUCUCCCAGGCUACACACAUUGCUGCCCCUCCCAACACACACUUACAACCCUGAUACUUUUUUAGCGAAGGGAAAAUUCCAUCCAUGGUGCUUUCUCAGGGCUAGGGGAAAAGGGGGUGUUUGCUAAGUGCCAACUGUAGCUCACAUCUUGUUUUUAAAGGCCCAUGAAAUAGAUUCUUCACACUGAUUUGAUGAGUCUGUGUGUCUGUGUGAAGAAAGAAUUCCCAUUAAACAGAGGGUGGAGAGAAAAUGCAUUCGGCAAACAUUCUAGUAAAAGAAAUGAAUUAUUUCAAAAAUCCCACAGAUAGCUUGGGUUGUCAGAUCAGAUCAUCUAGAACUUUUUAUUCAUGUUUUUCUUUUGUACUUCCUGAUUUGUUUUUGUUUCAGGGUUUUAAAAGCAUUAUCCUCAGAGACUGAGAGGACUAAGAAUAGUAAGUGAGACUCAGAUUUCACCAUCUAUUUCCUAUCUGCAGCUAUUAUUGGUGGAGUUUCAACCAGUCAUUACUAGCUAAACUGAGGCUGGGGGGUUACCUGUGUAUUUCAUUCAUCUGUGUUCAUAAUUUCAUUGUGGACAAUUGAGAGUUGGCUGUAACUAUUGCUUAAUGGAUAUAUUUUUAUAUUAAUGUUAUUUGGGGCCAAGGAUCACUUAAAGUUCAUGAGUGCUAUUCUUAUAGACACAAAUGGUACAUGAGCCACAUAGACACCUGGCCUUUCAGGGACGUGAGCAUGACUUACAUCUGACUAGUGAUUCCAUAUUCCUCCUUGUCAAAGUGAAGUUUGGGGAUGUUUGCUGUGUCAAUAUGACGAUUUUCAUGCAUUGUCUCAUCAUCCAUAGGCAGUGUGCUGAAUGAAAACUGUCCUGUAAUUCCUGUUAUAUAUUGUUAAUGUCAGAUGUGAUGUGAUACAGUUGGACUGUCCAAAUGUACAACUAUUUAAUGGUGUUUGUAGAACUGAAAUGUCUUAAAUGUUGCAUGAAAUAUGUUCUAAAAAUAGAUUUGUUUUCUAUUUUUCAACACCUCAGAAUUGAGGGUUCAUGGGCCAAUAAGUGCAAUAUUUAAUGACUUACUCAGUGUAUAUAAACUAGUGUGCAAAAGUGAAUUCUAAUGAAUGUGUGAGAUGCUUUGAUGGCUGUAUGCUUAUUCAAAUGAUUUCUUGUAGCAGUAUUUGUCUAGUGGUGCAAUUUAUACAGUAAAUAUCUUAUUGGUGUCAUGUGAAACUCCUCUGUGCCUACUUCAAAGUACUUCUUUUCCUAUAAGACCAAAUGUUUAGUAUCUGCAAAUACAUGUCAAUUUUACCUUUUGGAACUGUGGAUUUUAUUUUCAAAACAGAAUAAUUAUGAGUUUAUUUUAUAAAAGCAUUCCUUUGAUAAUUCAGAAUUCUUCUUAAGCCUCUUGUAAGAGUGUAUUAAGCAACUAAUUUAGAUACUAUGGGGAAAUAUGUGCAUAAAGAAGUGACUAUUUCUCUUUUCAGAAAGGUUGAUCACAUGUUAUGUCUACUAAGAAUUUUCACUCUUGAAUUUGUAUGUAUGUUUUAUUGUUACUCAACAUUUUACUUUGUUUACAACUUGGAUACUGUCAACUCUGGGAACUCUUAUCACACCACUGUCUUUUUAGAUUAUAGCUGAUGUUAUGUUCACUUUCAAUUCUCAGUUGUCCACAUUGGUGAUAAAAGAGAAAUGCCAGUAUCCUUAUAUCACUUUGGUAUGUCUUCAUGAACUCAUAUAUUCAUCCUCAUACCCCCUUGGUUAAUCCCAAAUUUGGUGGCCUGAAACUUCACAGAGACAUAAAAUUAAGAAAUUAAGCCCAGUUGCUGGAUUACUAAAAGCUACAAAUAUUUAUGUAUAUGAAUGUUAAUUUAGGUCAACAACUUUAAACUCCUAGUUGCCAUUUCAAUCUUUAAGGUAAUGCCUCUUUUUAAUAUUGUACUUUUUUUCUCAUUUAGUUAGCUGGGUAAACCAUGAUAUCCUAAGGAAUAAAAACAAGUUACAACUUACUCAUUAAACAAUAAUGGAGUACAGUUGGUUCUAGAUGGUCAUGUCUGUCCAUACAUGUUAAAAAGGCUUCUGUUCUCCCUAUAUCACUUGACGGGGAACUGACAGGUGAAGAUGUGUUAGUCACAUUAAAUGGCUUUGGACUAUGUGGUCAAUAUGUGGACUGAAUUUAACUGUGAUUGAAAGUUGCAUUUAGCUCUCAAAAACCACUGAAAAAAUCAAGUAAACAUGGGCAAAACAGGGAAACCAAUGUUGUCUUUGUGCCAAAUUUUAAAAAUAAAGAGAAAAAAGAAAAGUGUUCUAGCCAACGAUAGAAUGAAAAUUUAAAGGUGUGGUUUAAAGUGUCAUUUGUUGUCACAUGUUAUUAAAUGCCACAUACUCAGUACUGUAGGAAUCAACCAUGCAAGAGGUAUGGCUCCUGUCCCUAAUGAGAAUGAGGAGAAAAAAGUGCAAGAUAUAAUCUAAGUGCUCAGUUAUGUCAAGAGCACAGAGAAUGGGGACCUUAAGGAACUGGAAGAGUCAAGAGUAGCUUCAUGGAGGAGGUCAGAUAGGAUCCCAGAAAAAAAUUAAAUAGUGAGGAGAUUGUGCCAGGCUACUGAGUGGCAAAGACCAUAGUAUAGUCCCUUUGAACGGGGGUGUGGCAGAGCUGGCAGCUAUAGAUGAUUGUUUUCUUCAAAGUGACCCUUUGAAAAACCUCAAGUGACCCCAGUUUAGCUCUUUGUCUUUCUGUCUCCGUGAGGAAGACAAAAUGUCCUUUCCCAUAUUCCUCUGUCUGGAGCAGCCUCAUGCUCAGCCACAAAAUCCAAGUUGCUUUAAAGCCACAUUAGAACCAUUAAUUUAGACAUUUGCCAAUGCCCAGAACCAUGAGACAUUGUUCAACCUAAUGUCACCCAGGCAGAUGUGACCCAGAGAUUUUUCUGUAGCUCCAUGUUUCCUGUAAAAGGAAUGAGAAAUGCACAGAUAAAAACCCUCCUUUGUACACCGGCACUUUUGGCUCCUUCGCAGUGACUGCACUGUGGAACUCUUCUUGAGAAAAUAGUGACAACAGCUUAACGCUUUCGUAUAGUGAUCGUGAUGUUUAGUUGAAAACUACUGCUGCAUAGCAAAUAUUGUGACUUCAUGUGUCCACAGGAGCGCUUGUCUGGGUUUAGAGCUAUAAAGUGUAUUCACAUUGUGAAGUUUUAAUUAUCUUUAUUGAAAUUAAUUGUGUAAAAAUUGGUAUGUGCUCUAUUAGGUAUUCAGUUUGUAUGUGAAUUCUGUGUGGAAAGUGGUUUUUGUUCUUUG